This 169-nucleotide non-coding RNA is filed under the name bovine gut metagenome. Its description in RNAcentral is "Lysine riboswitch". It matches the Rfam family "Lysine riboswitch aptamer". From Rfam's summary of the family: Riboswitches are metabolite binding domains within certain messenger RNAs that serve as precision sensors for their corresponding targets. Allosteric rearrangement of mRNA structure is mediated by ligand binding, and this results in modulation of gene expression. The record is from RNAcentral.
UAGUGUAGAGGUGCGUGUUUUAUCAGUAUACUAUGGGAUGUGACAGACACAGAAGAACAUAGUGGAAAGGAAAACAUGCCGAAGUUACAAGUAUUCUGUAAAACUUGUAGCUGGGCGUAUAUUUAAUAGAUAUGCGACUGUCAUCGACGAAAGUGAUGGAGUGCUACCA